UGGGGGAUAUUGCACAAUGGGCGAAAGCCUGAUGCAGCGACGCCGCGGGGGGGAUGAAGGAUGGCGGGUUGUAAACCUCUUUUGCUCUGAACAAGGCAUGCCUUUGGGGUGUGCUGAGUGUAGGGGUUGAUUAGCGCCGGCUAACUACGUGCCAGCAGCCGCGGUAAUACGUAGGGCGCGAGCGGAGUCCGGAAUUAUUGGGCGUAAAGGGCUAGUAGGUGGCUGGUUGCGUCUGUCGUGAAAGCUCAUGGCUUAACUGUGGGUUUGCGGUGGGUACGGGCUGGCUUGAGUGCAGUAGUGGAGGCUGGAAGUCCUGGUGUAGCGGUGGAAUGCGCAGAUAUCAGGAGGAAUACCGGUGGCGAAGGCGGGUCUCUGGGCUGUUACUGACGCUGAGGAGCGAAAGCGUGGGGAGCGAACAGG
RNAcentral lists this ribosomal RNA (420 nucleotides) under Fusobacteriota bacterium. RNAcentral describes it as "Fusobacteria bacterium partial 16S ribosomal RNA". It matches the Rfam family "Bacterial small subunit ribosomal RNA", at positions 355 to 776 of the family's 1533-position model. The record is from RNAcentral. Lineage: Bacteria; Fusobacteriati; Fusobacteriota.